AUGAACUCAGGACCUUGCACUUGUGAAGCAGGCGCAGAACAACUGAGCUAAAACCCAGCCCCAACAGUCAGUGCUCUUGAUGCUUGGGUUACACCACUGAGCAAUCAGGUGCCACAACGCUCCUGUCUCCUUUUCCAGAAUGACUCAGCCCUUCCUCGAAACAAUUAGAGCAAACAGCCUUGCUGACUUGAGCGGAGACUUAGCCAAAGAAUGCAUGAUGUGAGCAGCUGUUAUCUCCCCAGACCUUUCUACCAUGCUGUUUCAGCCUUUGAGUCAUCUCACAAUAGACCGAAAAUGUACAAAGUACUGUUACAGUUGUCCUUCCACUACUACUCUCAUCCUCCUGCCAAGAAGAAACUCACUUGUAAGGUUGAAUUCAGGGCUCACAUGUUUCUGUCACAUAAGAGGCACAGUUCUGGAAGGGAACUGGAAAGAAUCCUAAAGGAUUUUGUACUGAACACAGCAGCGCCCAAAGACAAAAGGAAUUUGGAACUCUGAAUCAGAGUGGAUGGCUGCAUGAUAAACAGAAGCAAAGCAAAUGAUAUCCGGCUUUUUGCUGAAGUUCCUCGUG
Long non-coding RNA from Fukomys damarensis (Damara mole-rat), 571 nucleotides. RefSeq lists it as uncharacterized. The record is from RefSeq and is a predicted model, not a curated record. The transcript is spliced from 7 exons. Lineage: Eukaryota; Metazoa; Chordata; Mammalia; Rodentia; Bathyergidae.